GUUACAUUCACGCUGUUGCAGGAGUACAGGUCGGUGGUGUUACACACAUUCAUGCUGUUGCAGGCGUGCAGGUCGGUGGUGUUACACACAUUCACACUGUUGCAGGCGUGCAGGUCGGUGGUGUUACAUUCAUGCUGUUGCAGGCGUGCAGGUCAGUGGUGUUACACACAUUCACGCUGUUGCAGGCAUGCAGGUCGGUGGUGUUACACACAUUCACGCUUUUGCAGGCGUGCAGGUCGGUGGUCUUACAUUCAUACUGUUGCAGGCGUGCAGGUCGGUGGUGUUACAUUCACACUGUUGCAGGCGUGCAGGUUGGUGUUACACACAUUCACACUUGCAGGCGUGCAGGUCGGUGGUGUUACACACAUGCUGUUGCAGGCGUGCAGGUCGGUGGUGUUACAUUCACACUGUUGCAGGCGUGCAGGUCGGUGGUACACACAUUCACACUGUUGCAGGCGUGCAGGUCGGUGGUGUUACACACAUUCAUGGUGUUGCAGGCGUGCAGGUCGGUGUUACACACAUGCUGUUGCAGGCGUGCAGGUCGGUGGUACAUUCAUGCUGUUGCAGGCGUGCAGGUCGGUGGUGUUACACAUUUUCACGCUGUUGCAGACGUGCAGGUCAGUGGUGUUACAUUCAUGCUGUUGCAGGCGUGCAGGUCGGUGGUGUUACAUUCACGCUGGUGCAGGCAUGCAGGUCGGUGGUGUUACACACAACGCUGUUGCAGGCGUGCAGGUCAGUGGUACACACAUUCACGCUAUUGCAGGCGUGCAGGCCGGUGGUGUUACAUUCACGCUGUUGCAGGCGUGCAGGUUGGUGUUACACACAUUCACACUUGCAGGCGUGCGGGUCGGUGGUGUUACACACAUUCAUGCUGUUGCAGGCGUGCAGGUCGGUGUUACACACAUUCACACUUGCAGGCGUGCAGGUCGGUGGUGUUACACACAUUCACACUGUUGCAGGCGUGCAGGUCCGUGGUGUUACACACAUGCUGUUGCAGGCGUGCAGGUCGGUGGUGUUACAUUCACACUGUUGCAGGUGUGCAGGUUGGUGUUACACACAUUCACACUGUUGCAGGCUUGCAGGUCGGUGGUGUUACACACAUUCACACUUGCAGGCGUGCAGGUCAGUGGUGUUACACACAUUCAUGCUGUUGCAGGCAUGCAGGUCGGUAGUGUUACACAUUCAUGCUGUUGCAGGCGUGCAGGUCGGUGGUGUUGCACAUUCAUGCUGUUGCAGGCAUGCAGGUCGGUGGUGUUACAUUCACGCUGUUGCAGGAGUACAGGUCAGUGGUGUUACACACAUUCAUGCUGUUGUGCAGCUAUCACUUCCAUCUCCAGAGCCCUUUUCAUCUUAAAACUGAAGCUCUCCCAUCACACAGUGACCCUUCAUGUCCCUCCCCAGUCCCUGAAAAACACUGUUCAGGUUUUUCUUCCUGGACCUCAUUGUGUGGAGUUCCUCGUGUGAG
This 1465-nucleotide long non-coding RNA is filed under the name Homo sapiens (human). RNAcentral describes it as "non-protein coding lnc-UAP1L1-4:6". Lineage: Eukaryota; Metazoa; Chordata; Mammalia; Primates; Hominidae. The record is from RNAcentral.